GACGAACGCUGGCGGCGUGCUUAACACAUGCAAGUCGAACGGAAAGGCCCUGCUUUUGUGGGGUGCUCGAGUGGCGAACGGGUGAGUAACACGUGAGUAACCUGCCCUUGACUUUGGGAUAACUUCAGGAAACUGGGGCUAAUACCGGAUAGGAGCUCCUGCUGCAUGGUGGGGGUUGGAAAGUUUCGGUGGUUGGGGAUGGACUCGCGGCUUAUCAGCUUGUUGGUGGGGUAGUGGCUUACCAAGGCUUUGACGGGUAGCCGGCCUGAGAGGGUGACCGGCCACAUUGGGACUGAGAUACGGCCCAGACUACUACAGGAGGCAGCAGUGGGGAAUAUUGCACAAUGGGCGGAAGCCUGAUGCAGCAACGCCGCGUGCGGGAUGACGGCCUUCGGGUUGUAAACCGCUUUCGCCUGUGACGAAGCGUGAGUGACGGUAAUGGGUAAAGAAGCACCGGCUAACUACGUG
Molecule: ribosomal RNA, 468 nt
Filed under: uncultured bacterium
Lineage: Bacteria
Description: partial 16S ribosomal RNA
Rfam family: Bacterial small subunit ribosomal RNA
Source: RNAcentral